UUUGUUUUCUUUAAUGUUGUCUUUCCUGAUCCAUACUUUUUUGCUGAAGAAUGCUGUGCCACAUAACAUGCACAUAAAGCCUUCCCUACUUCACAGUGUUUACUUUACAUUCCAUUUCUCCCAUCCUAGCAGAAAGAUAAACCCCAUGAUGUACUAAAGCUUCUCCACCACAACAGAGGCAUCCAAUAUAGAUUAAAAUAUUUUUAAUUAAAUACAGUAUCUAAGACCCUCUUGAGACCAAGGAGGUGUCAUAUUGGGCCACAGAAAAAAAUCAGAAUUUCAGUCCUGUUGCUCCUGGUUUGGUAGAAACUGUCACAGGACGAAAGUACUUGGAAGUGUUUCUUUCCCAGUGUCAUCUGUGAUAUGGUCUGACAGCCUAUUAGAGAAAAUCUGUGGGAGUCUUCUUGGAAAAAAAAUCAGUGUCUGACAUUUAGAAACCACUUUAGAUAAUCUCCUGCAGCCCACUUUGCAUUCUUAUCUCUUUCAGAAGUAUAUGUAUUUUUUUUCCAGGUGGAUAAUUACUGAUAUGUGCCUUUCUAGACCUUCUGAGCCAACACUCAGCACUCCAAGCACUAGGAUUACAGGUCCUAGCAGAGAUUUUGAGGAGUGAGGAGAUAAAAAGCCUUUUUCAGACUAAGGUGGUGCAGCCCUAGGGCUGUGGCUGGACAGAGGCUGUCUGCUGGUGUGAGUAGAGGGGGCUAUACCCAGACAUUAUGGGAACAGAGACUGGAUUUGUGGCCAUGAACACCAAGAAAACAAGAGGCAAAGAGAGGCAGAUGCCAUGCAGACAAAUGUUGAGGGGUCCAGCCUUGCUGUCAAAGGAUCUGCCAGUUCUGCACUGAAAUUUUGAGUGAAGUCUUGCUGGAUAAAGUACAUUAAAAUCAACGGAAAGUCUGGUUUAAAGGCAACAGAUGUGUUUUACUGAAGAUUAUUCAGAACCACAGGUUGGGCCCUGCCAUCUGCUGAAUUUGGAUACGAUGUCUGCAAAUCUGGUGUGGAAAUAACACAAAACAAAACUCUGCCUUUGGGAGAGAAACUACCAAUGCCUUUGUAGCUACAACUGUCUCCCACAGAAAAUUACCUUUCUUAUUUUGUGCAAUAUGUACCCUCUCCAUACAAAUGUAAGCUAAGGUUAAAUUCCAGCUCUCAGAGCUCGAUUUUAUCUCAAGUCCCUGCUAAAAUCCCUCAGUACUUGACUGGAGAAGAGCAAGAGGACUCUGCUCUAAUAAGACCUGCUUUGAGUGUGGAAUUGGACCAUGGACCUUCACAGGUCCUUUUCAACCUCUGUGGCUGUAGAAUCAAAAUUAUUACAUCUGUGCAGACACAUGAACAUGGAAGUAUCUUUCUUUGUCAAAUUUGGUAAGGAAAGAUGGAUCUGUCAGUCAGGAAUACAAACAGAAAGAACAGACAACAGAGUUUUACUAGAAAGGUUGUUUAUUUUGUUGAAAGUUUGCUUGUAAAUAACUAUUUAAAAAAAAAAAAAGAAAAAAAAUUAGCCUGCAUCCAGACAAAUUGCUGUUGAAAUACCCAAUCUAGUGAUUCACAGCUCCUCACCUCUGGAAGGAAGGCUUUUCCCUUCUCUUUUCAAAUGCAGUGUCUUCUCACUAAGACACUGACUCUCAAUGCAGCUAGAAAAUCCUCUUGAGCUUAUAAUCUAGUAGAGAGACCUGUUAUUUUAUGUCCUGUGUUCUGCCAGAAUCAUGCUUAUGUUGGACAUGUCUUGGAAACAAAUGCAGUCUUGGUCUAAUUUAAUAACUUGUCUUGGACAAUAGAGCCUUGAGUCCUGCUGCUGGCCCAUCAAGAAAGAAUCCUCUUGUGCAAGCAGUAGUAGCUGUGUUCAAAAAUAGUCUCCAAACUAUUGGGAAUAAACCAACACCCAAGAAAAAUGACAGUUUGUUUAAAAAACAGUUAAAAACCAGUUUGUUUAAAAAGUCUGUUUUAAAGUGAAUGAAACCAAAAUCUUAAGGCCACAUUUCAAAAAGCUAAUGCUAUGCCUUGAACUUAUAUAGCCUGUGAUACAGCAACUCAGCCCCACUCUCCCCUGGUAGAAAAGAGAGGGAAAAGGCUUUUGUGCGUUUGAAACUGCAUUUUUUGCCUGAACUGCAGAACAAAAUCCAACAGGAAUUAAGAAUUCACAGUAACCUCCCAUUUUCUGUUCUGAGGGUGAUGUACACUUCUCUGACUUGUGGCACAGAAAAGAGGAACAAAAAUCACUCUACCUGUGAUAGGUCAAAGGCAGCAGCACCAGAUGGAGCCCUUGCCUGAGAUGCCCCACUGGCAGGGUGGGCACUGCCCAAGUACCAGUAACUCAGAAACAGCUCCCAGCAGGCUCAGUAAAAGCAGCGCCUCUGUUGUGAAGGAGCAGUGAAUGCACCACUCAGGCCGAGAUGGGAAUUACAGCUCCAAAAUGAACAAGGAUCCUGCACAACAGCAGCACCUGAUCUAAUCUUUCCUUUGCCUCUGUGCUGGUAGGAAGGCAAGGUUGGCAUUUUCAAACCCCCUUCCCGUUGACUGGAAAGACUAGUGAAAAAACUACCUGUGCUCCAGAAGAUGAUUAAGAGACUGGAGAUUUCUCUUAUGAGGAAAGGCUGAGGGAGCUGGGCCUGCUCAGUGUUAAGAAGAGAUGGCUGAGAGGGGACCACAUCAGUGUCUGUCAGUGUCUGCAGGGAGGGGUCAGAGGAUGGACCAGGCUCUGCUCUGGGGUGCCCAGCAAGGGGACAAGAGGCAACAGGUAGAAGCUGAUGCCCAGAAGAUCCAUCAAAAUCUAAGGAAGAACUUCUUGUAAGUGACAGUGCACUGGAACAGGUUUCCUGGAGAGACUGGAGAGUCUCCCUCACUGGAGAUAUUUCAGAACUGUCUGGACACAAUCCUGUGCAAUGUUCUCUGGGAUGACCCUGCAACAGUGAGUUUGGACUGGAUGACCCACUGUGGGCCCUUCCAAAAUUACCUGCUCUGUGACUGUGCUAGGCCCUGUUCUCUCAGGAAUUCAUGUCUUAUCAAGAGCAAACAGUACCAGCCUGAGUGGGGACUAGACAAAACUAAAACUGCUUACAGCUGCACUCCUGCAUGAACACCAAACUGGGGUGACUACAAGUCAGUCACUGCAGGCUGUAGAUACCUGUAGCCCCUGUGAGCCCAGGGAGCUCUCCUGUAUGGCAUGGUGGUGAUCUCCCUGUGAGCAGGGACAUAGCUCAAGGUUACUUCCUGAGGACCAGAGACCCCCUUACCUGGCAUCUGAUAUCUAUAAUGGGGUAAGAACAUUUUGCAUUAAGCCUAAAACUGUAUUGUAUGUUAGUGACAUUUAUAUGUCCGGCUAUAGCUUUAGAAGUGGAAUACAUAGCAAAGUAUAAUCAUUAUUUAAAUAAUUGUUGAAAUCAUCAACUACAUCAUUGUUCAAUUACCAUUUAAUUAGAGCUUUUUAUUAUUGUUAAAUCAUUGUUAAACUGUGAUUAAAUUAUCAUUCAAUUACUGCUUAAUCAUUUAUCAUUUCAUUAUCAUUAAAUAAUUGAUUAAUUACCAUUUGACUAUCAUCUAAUCAUUAAUAAAACCCUUUUAUUAUCCCCACAAUGAUGACUUCCCUUAAAAAUUCACCUACAACAGUAGAGCUGUGGGUGUAUAAAUGGGGGAAAGGGGAAGAUGAAAUAGAUGUGGUGAUGGCUGCUAACACAAAAGAUGUGGCACCUUUACUGUUGUUCAUUUAUGACUGUAAAGAAUAAAGCACAGUAAUAAGGAAAUGCUUUGUGAGCAAAGGCCUUUGAUAAUAAGGCUGUAAGUUUCCACUUGGGACAGGUCCACGUAACAAUCAAAAUGCAAAACUGUACCAGGCAACAACGAGAAUAUUGACUCUAACCUUUGUCUGAAAGAAAAAAUGUUUAGUCAUAUUGACAAAAAACAUUCCUCUUUUAAGAGACACUCUCCGCUAAAUGUUAAUCUACCGACUUUUCCUCUGUAUUCACCACCUAUGCCUGAUGAAUACACAGUCUUCCUCCCCUCCCCCUGCAAUGUAUGAAACAGACUAUUUAUCCUGCAUAAGGCUUGGUAAAUGGGAUACCCUGGUUCUCUGGGAUACUGGUGAUCUGCUUGAGUCCCAAGGGAGGAAGAUGUGAUAAAUGCAGUAGCUGAUAAAUAAUCUGUGGUAUAAUUAGUGUUGCCCUUGUUGGACAGACAAGCAAGCAGCAGAUUUCCCAUGUACAGGAGGGUGUUUAUCCUGGCUUUUGUGCUUGCGAUUGGUUGCUGAACCUGAUGUACCUCUAUGAAAUGACUUUCUCAGUGACUGUACGAGAGCAAGCCAGCCUAUGAAUCUGCAGUGUACAUGGGUAUAGUUUCAUGUUUUGCUGCACCAUCAGCACCUGCAAAUUUCCUAAACAGCCUUUGAUUUUAAAUGUCAGUGACUUCCACCAUCAGGUUUCUUAGGUGCUCCUCAUUCCCUUCGGGAGAGCUG
Molecule: long non-coding RNA, 4441 nt
Organism: Lepidothrix coronata (blue-crowned manakin)
Lineage: Eukaryota; Metazoa; Chordata; Aves; Passeriformes; Pipridae
Exons: 6
Source: RefSeq, a predicted model, not a curated record